CACCAAUCAAGCCUGGCUUGGUAUUGGGCGUCGGGAGACCCCGCGCCCCUAAUUCAUCGGCUGGACGGUUCGAAUCUCAGCGUUGUGGUCAUUCAAUUCGCUGGCGAGGACGACCGGACGCGCCGUUAAACCUCUUAUCACA
RNAcentral lists this unclassified non-coding RNA (142 nucleotides) under uncultured Capnodiales. RNAcentral describes it as "partial internal transcribed spacer 2". The record is from RNAcentral. Lineage: Eukaryota; Fungi; Ascomycota; Dothideomycetes; Capnodiales.